AAAUUGAAACAGGGGAGCUCGUAAGCGAGCUGAGAGGAAGUCAUCAACUUCGACCCUUAACCUGAUCCGGAUAAUGCCGGCGGAGGGAGUUUGUAGACAUUUUGU
Molecule: non-coding RNA, 105 nt
Filed under: Ligilactobacillus equi
Lineage: Bacteria; Bacillati; Bacillota; Bacilli; Lactobacillales; Lactobacillaceae
Also listed under: 1 other name
Description: Lactobacillus equi TPP sequence
Rfam family: TPP riboswitch aptamer (THI element)
About the family: Vitamin B(1) in its active form thiamin pyrophosphate (TPP) is an essential coenzyme that is synthesised by coupling of pyrimidine and thiazole moieties in bacteria. The previously detected thiamin-regulatory element, thi box was extended, resulting in a new, highly conserved RNA secondary structure, the THI element, which is widely distributed in eubacteria and also occurs in some archaea.
Source: RNAcentral